GCGGAAACCACGUAGGAUGGGAGUUUGUCUCACAGUGUGAAGAUUCAACUCUAGUGCGUUUUACUCCUCCAAUUUAAAUGCUGGUGCUUUCAAGAACCACUGACAGCAGGACGCGAGCUCAGACAUGGAAAUUGAUUUUCCGAGGGAUUGAUUCCACCCCGGAUCUUGUGCUGAUCUACAGAGAAAAAAAGCCCUUGCCAGCAGCUGGGAGCCGUCAAGGGAAGCCACCCCAAGCAAAAUGUUAUUCCAGCUUGUUAGUGUUUGAAGUCACAGCAAGCUGGGCUGCAGAAGCUGCCGCCUGUGGUUUAUGGCUUGUGGGGUUGCUCAAGAUAUGGAGUCUCACUUUCCAAGUCAGGAUGUCUCACCGCCAUUGAAGGCACAACUGUAGCUGUGAGAUAACGCAGGCACGUUAAGAGGAAAGGACUUCAGAGCACACAUGUGGUCUCGACUCAGUGAGUGACAACACUACAGUGUGUGCGUGUGUGGGUGUGACUCAGCUUGUGUUUUUUCCAAAUCCAUGCAGCGCUGCAACCACUUGCUGAAACACUAUUGCUUCCUCUUCUUUCUAUUUUCAGAUACUUGCUUCAACCCAAACAUGUCCUGCUUUUUAAUGAGUUUAGAUUACUUUCAUUGUGACCAUUAGUUAAUUAGGGAAUCCUGACAAACUCCGUACUCAGACAAACAAUUGAAUCAAUAUAAAAUAGAAUUGGAUAUGCAAUUGUGUAACAGAUGAAGGAAUUUUCUACUUCAAGGCCCCUAAUAGCGCCUUUGAUUUCUGAAAUUCAAUAAUGUCGCAAAUAUCUUGGUUUAGAUCAGUGUUUCAGUGAUUAAAAUGGUUGUAUUUCAACCCCGAUAGGUCAAAGGUUGUCAGUGUCCCCACUGAUAUUUUUCUAUAAUCCCUCAUAUCUCCUCCCAGUCACAGCGAGGACCCUCAAACAACUCCUGCUGAACAUUUUACAACUGGCACACAUUAACAAGACAGUAUGAGUGAAAAUAUUAAUUUAAGUACAAAGACAAUCAGUGGUGAAACUGUUCAGGGGUUUUAUUUGAGAAACAGAUCAUGUGAUCUUUAUGUGGAAUAUGCAAAGUAAAAUGUAUAGCUGUCACAUAAAUGCCGUGGAAUAAAAAGUACAAUAUACAAUUGUGUUAUACAAAAUAGAAAUUAAGUCAAGUACAAAUUGUACUUCAGUACAGUACAUACAUAUUUCUUUUACAUUACUGUUGAAAUAUACAUUUGGAAACCAAUGUCUCUAAAUGUUAUGUUUUUCUUUUUCUUCAGUUUUGAUUUUGGGCUGCAACUACAAUUUCCUUUUGUCUAAAAAAUGCAAGAAAAUAAAAAUAAACAAAUAAAUGUUGUUUUAUCCAGCCAA
Molecule: long non-coding RNA, 1370 nt
Organism: Cyclopterus lumpus (lumpfish)
Lineage: Eukaryota; Metazoa; Chordata; Actinopteri; Perciformes; Cyclopteridae
Exons: 3
Source: RefSeq, a predicted model, not a curated record